Molecule: long non-coding RNA, 5265 nt
Organism: Myotis myotis
Lineage: Eukaryota; Metazoa; Chordata; Mammalia; Chiroptera; Vespertilionidae
Exons: 4
Source: RefSeq, a predicted model, not a curated record
AGCUACAGCUCGAAGAUGAAAAAAGAUUUUAAAGCCUCUGAUCCAGCAAGAAGAGUUUAAAGCAAUUGCUGAGUUUUAUAGUACUUGUGACGUCAGGCCCAGAUGGGAAAUUGACUGGUACUCUAGGCCAAUGAGAGGCGGCGAGAGCGGCCGCGAUUAGCAUAAUAGUAUAGAAACAAGGAAACUUUUCGGAGCUGUCAAUCAGGGCCCAAUCAGCUGACUGUCAGCUGGGACGGGCGAGCUUAACCCUUCCCGCGCCGCCACCUCCCCCAGGGAGCCACGCCGAGCGCAAAGUUUGGUGAAAGAGAGCGAAGAGUUUUCCAGAGGGGCUGCGGGAACCCGGGAGGAGAGGGAGGUCGGUUUGAUUUACUUUGGAGCUCGAAGAGGCCUGCUUUCCGGAGCCCCCGCUGACCAGACACUCACUCGGCGGGCAUUGGCCUGACUGCCCUCCCCUGCCAGCUCCCCGUCCCCAGGAUUGUGAAUUAGCCUGGCAGCCUUCCCUCCUCGCUCCACCUUCGGCACCCAGAUCGAUUCUUUUAAAGCUCAUGCAAGAAGGAAAAAGAAAAAGGAAAGAAAAGAAAAAGGAAACAACCAACAACUCUGUUUCUAAGAUUUUAAAGCGAUAGGCAAGUCGGAGAAGCCGAGAUUUACUAUUUGGGGGAAAGCAAGAGUGCGCGAGCGAAUCCAGCGUUUGGAAGACCAGCCCGCCUGCUUGGAUGUUGGGACUGUUGAUUCUUCCAAUUAAUGAAAUGCAUUUGGUGUUAAUGCUAUUUUUUUUUUUUUUUUUUUUUUACUUUGUGGGAGGGGAAAACACUAGGAGGGUGCAUUAAGAAAAAAAAAAAUUCUGAAAAGCCUGCAAAAGGAUCGAAGAGUGAAAACUAUUGUUGGAUCGAGUUGGUUUUUACCUCAACAGCGCCACCUUUCGGCAAAGGUCAGUUGAAAUUGAUCCGUGUCCAGUUUUGUUGAAGUGAAAAGAGGCUGGUUUCCCAAGGUGGGAGGAGGAAAGAGGCGCAGGAAGUUUGACUGCAGUGGGAGAACCCAACCUUGUAGGUAAGCGGCUGAGGACAGUGCAGGCAGGUGAGGAAGUUAUUUUUCCUCCAUUAUUCCCCUGGAUUGUCGACCAAGGGGACAGGGGGCACAGAAGCCUUUGGGAGUGUGAUUCUGUCUCAGAGACUUGAGCAAGUGGAUCCCACGUAACAGGGCCCCAAGCCCUUUAAAAGUGCCAGGAUGGAUUUCCAGCGGGCUUUAUGGCAAUAUCAAUAGAAUUAAAGUUACUUGUAAUUCAGUGAUAAAUGAGAUGUCUCUAGUAAGUAAGAUUAAGUGCAGCGCUAUAAAGUUGUUUAUCUGAAAAGUAAUUCUCAGAAAACCUGACUUCUGACACUUAGUCAUAUAUUAAGCCUCACGUCUUGAACAUUGCACUUCAGAAGGCUGUCACCCACCCCACAGCAUACUUUACUAUUUAUAACGAGACCUUAGGUGUCACUCACUGGCUUCAGACUCCAGAUUAGACUUGUGUUAAUUUCUCUGAUGCUGGCAGCCCUGGUUUCAGCAGACCCCAGGGUUCCUAAUGAGAGAAUCCCCCAAUACAGGUUUGUAGGCGCAUCAGAAUCCUAAAAGGCCAGUGCUGUUGGUAUUUUCCAGAAAAGCACCUUCUCUUUUCAUCAUUACUUCAGCGAAGUUGUUUAUAAGGGUAGUUUUGGUUUUAUGGGAAUACUUUGUCUAUUACCAGUUUGGAGAAGAAAGAGUGACGGUUAUGUCAAUAUUUAUGCAACCUAACAGAAUUCCUUUGCUUUCCACCUCUUCAACAGUAUUUUACCUAGUAAUGAAGUUAAGGGAUUAUAGCUUGUUUAUUCAGAGGAAAAUCUUAAACUACAUAAACGUACGAUGUCAUUUAGCAUUGUUCAUAGCAAUAGUUUUCUAGGCUUUUAAAAAAUCAUUAGCCACAAAUGUCUGAAGUUUAUAAUUAUUCACGUGAAACAUGAAUUUAAAUGUAGUUAGGAAGAAUUGAUUCUUUUUUUGCUUAUAAUAUAUUUUUUUUUAUCCUUUGGAAUCACAUUUUUGUUAAAAGCUGUAAGAAAUGAUCCUUGUCUCUCAUGAAAGUAUUUUUGGCCAGGAGCACUGAAACUUCUGCAUUCGUAAACAACAUUUAUAAACAAAAUUCGCUCAUGACGAAGACCAUGUGAUAUAGAUUCAUGGCCAUGCACCUAAUUGUUGCAAUUAUAUAUCAUUUCUAGAAAUUAAACGCUCAUGUUUGGGCAGCUAAAUGUAUUAUUAUCUGCACUUUUUUUAUGGUUUAUUUCUGUACACUGCUGUUAAGCCAUGGUAUUUUUCUUUCUCGUAUUGCAGAGUCUUUUACAGUCUCUUAUUUCCUCUCAAAAAAAAAAGAGAGGACCAGAAUUAUUUUUUAGAUGUGUAGCAGUAGUGCUCUCAGCCUUAUAACUGAAUUCUCAUUUUUGUCCUUUUUACUUUAUUAUUUAGUGAUUCCCAGGGGUGUCCAAACAUUUACAGUUCUCCGUUAGUGGCAUUUCUUUUCCAACAAUUGAGCUCUCUUAUUUUAAUUAGUACUAUUCAGGUUUUUGAUUCUGUACAAUUACAGCAGGCCACAUUUCCUUAGACUUCUUUGCUCAUAUUGUUUGUUUCACUUCUCUCCAGGCCCAUGUAAUCCAAAUACAAUACGAACCCUGUUUCUGUACUGCUUAAUAUCCCCUUGCUAUAUAUACGCUAGUAAUCUCUGUAGAACAAUAUACAGUAAUUUCGAAACCAUGCGCUUGUCAUUAUUGACCAAUUCAAAACAGUAGCAUUAAAGUUUCUGAAAGCCGUGAAUAUUUAUAGAAGAAUUUUGGGAGGGAGGAGGGCAUGAGUCGAAUCAUGUAGAAGAUUGCGAAAUCGUAACAUCCAAAACACAAUCGUAGAUUCGUGUCAGUACAUACACAACAACUUUGGACAAAAAGGAGAAAAAUCCUGUUCGUGUCCAAAUGAUAAUGAUUAAAAGUUAAAAAUAAUAUAUAUUAUAUAUUUAUAUAUAUUUUCCUGAUGAUGAGUUACAGCCACUCAGGUAUAUCAUGUUGGAAUCUGACAUAGAUAAUCUGAAAAAACCAAAAUGCACCAAGAAGUGUAGUGUCUGUUCUCCUUGUUUCUUCAGGAGCUGAUUUUAUGGUACAGAACUAACCAGAGUCCGCUCAAUUUCACUGUGAACCUAGCUAAAGUGAUUUGAGAAAAGUAACUGGAUGAUCACAUAGACUGUUCUUAGGAUGUUAGAUACAUCCUCGUAACAGUCUUUAGUUAGCAGGGUAAGUAAAUCACAAAUCACUGUGAGCAGAUUCAUGGAGGAAAAUUAAUAGAAUCAGGCGAGAUAAUCUGAUAAGGGCAAAAUUGCUGAGGAAACAGUCUUGCCUCAUAUUGGAGAAUGUGAAACAACAGCCUGAUUACUAGGAGUCGUUAUGAAUAGGUGAAUUAUGUGCUAAAUAAUCAUCGGAGUAAUUCAGCCUUUAUUAAUUCUUUUCUCUUUAAGCGACUCACAGUUGUAAGUUAAAGCCGAUCUCUCUUUGAAGACACAUCUUUUAUAAUUUUUAUUGGAGUUAGAGAACAGCUCACAUUUGAUUUCGGUGAAAAGAGGCUACAAGGGGCAGCGGAGUAAUCUUGAGAAGGAGGCAAAAUGCAAAUGAGAAAGUUCUUGGUUGCAUGAUGGGUUUUGCUGUGCUGUUCUGUUCGUUGGACUCGCAAGAUAUGCCCAGUGACACCCUCCCAGCAUCAUUCAUCACGACAGUGUUUCUGCUCGAAUAGAGAAUUGGGCAAAGCAACCCUCCUCACAAUAAAAAGUGAAAUCACAUUUAUAGACCUUUGCUGGUAUUCUUAUUUAGUUAUUUUAUAACAAUGAGACAUGCUGUCUGUUAAAUAUAAUCAUUUGCAUAAGACAGAAAUAGGAGGCUACCAAACGAAAGAACCACUAUUUCCCACUUCCCAAUCCUCUAAUCCUGGUCUCAGGUGUUACCAUCUAUAAUAAUUGGGGUCCAUGCAUAUACUUUUAUAGAAUGGAAUCAUGGUAUACACACAGCUUUUUUAAAACUUGCGUUCUCAGCAGUAACACAUCCACCUUAAUAUCCCCAAAAAGUGGUUUGGAGCACUCCUCUCUCCUUUGGCAGGACUCAUCUAAGAGAAUUUCAGAUGGGGGAGUUUAGAGAUCUUACCUUAACAGCCUCCUUCCUUCUUUACAACAUUCUGACAUGUGAGUCGACGGUAUGCAGGAUCGAUUUUACUAGGCCCAGCAGACACCGUGCGUAGGACCCAUGAGACUGUCCGGGGCCUAGGAGAACAUUUACAUUUCUUUUAAAAUCAGAGGAAAAGAAAUGAAUAUAAUGCAGCAUGUAUUAUACAUGUCAUUAUACCAACAUAGUCAUAAAAUGUAAUUAAAUGUUUAUGGAAGAAGGGGUCGACAUGAAACCAAAGUGCCUCAUAGCUACAAAAGUCCAAGUGCAGUCCCAACAACAUGCACUUGAUUGCUCCCAGUGACAGGGUGCUCACUACCUCUCAAAUUUUACCUUACACUCUGUCCAUCUAUCUUCCCACAGUUCUUGAGGUGGUCAGCCAAGCUUUACGUUCGUUUGUCUAGUAUGAAGUCAUAUCUCCUUCUUCUAUACACAAGUCCUGAUUUCAUACACUCAGAAGGCCAUGAGCCCUUAUAUCCCUCAUGCUCUCUGGGGAGUAGAAGACAACCAGUGUGAUGACACCUCCUCCCUACCUUUCGUAUUCCAUUCGAAACAUAGCCAGUGCCUUUAGCAUUUCCACAUACGCCUGAAUUUUAAGCGCCUCUGCCUCUAGGUGGCCGACUCCCAGAUGUGCCCACCUGGCAGUUGUCCCCCUUGGAGGGUUCAGGUCCCAGAACUGAACCCAGAUCCCCGGGUGUGAGCUUCUCAGCACAGCAACUGCCACCCUCCGCCCCCCGGGGCCAAGUCUGGCUGCUGUUCCUGCAGACCAUAAUUGCAGGAGCCUCGGCAGACAUCUAACACCGGUGACUCACUGUGCACGGCCCGAGGCCUUUUCUUCUCACAUUUCCCCCUCCUCUAUUUGUGUGCUUAUGUUUUUGAGCCCAAGCGCAGAAACGCACAACCAUGCCCAGUAGGCUUCAUCUCAUUAGGUUCAGCCUGGUCCCUGCUUGUGUGAAUCUCUGUGGAUCUAGAAUAUGCCAUCGACUUGUUUUAAUUUGCCUCCCAGCUUUGUGGCAGCUGCAGAUGAAAUUGAUGUGCUUUUUUAUGACUUAACCUCUCG